RNAcentral lists this ribosomal RNA (253 nucleotides) under uncultured bacterium. RNAcentral's name for it is "partial 16S ribosomal RNA". It matches the Rfam family "Bacterial small subunit ribosomal RNA", at positions 524 to 776 of the family's 1533-position model. The record is from RNAcentral.
UACGAAGGGGGCUAGCGUUGCUCGGAAUCACUGGGCGUGAAGGGUGCGUAGGCGGGUCUUUAAGGCAGAGGUGAAAUCCUGGAGCUCAACUCCAGAACUGCCUUUGAUACUGAGGAUCUUGAGUUCGGGAGAGGUGAGUGGAACUGCGAGUGUAGAGGUGAAAUUCGUAGAUAUUCGCAAGAACACCAGUGGCGAAGGCGGCUCACUGGCCCGAUACUGACGCUGAGGCACGAAAGCGUGGGGAGCAAACAGG